RNAcentral lists this small nuclear RNA (107 nucleotides) under Salvator merianae (Argentine black and white tegu). Lineage: Eukaryota; Metazoa; Chordata; Lepidosauria; Squamata; Teiidae. The record is from RNAcentral.
AUGCUUGCUUUGGCAGCAUGUAUACUAAAAUUGGAACGAUACAGAGAAGAUAAGCAUGGCCCCUGCACAAGGAUGACAUACACAUUUAUGGAACAUUCCAUAUUUUU